Molecule: ribosomal RNA, 567 nt
Filed under: uncultured bacterium
Lineage: Bacteria
Description: bacterial SSU rRNA
Rfam family: Bacterial small subunit ribosomal RNA
Source: RNAcentral
CCUACGGGAGGCAGCAGUGGGGAAUAUUGGGCAAUGGGCGCAAGCCUGACCCAGCGACGCCGCGUGCGGGAUGAAGGCCUUCGGGUUGUAAACCGCUUUCAGCAGGGAAGAAGCGAAAGUGACGGUACCUGCAGAAGAAGCACCGGCUAACUAUGUGCCAGCAGCCGCGGUAAUACAUAGGGUGCAAGCGUUGUCCGGAAUUAUUGGGCGUAAAGAGCUCGUAGGUGGUUCGUUACGUCGGAUGUGAAAACCUGAGGCUCAACCUCAGGCCUGCAUUCGAUACGGGCGAACUGGAGUGUGGUAGGGGAGACUGGAAUUCCUGGUGUAGCGGUGGAAUGCGCAGAUAUCAGGAGGAACACCAAUGGCGAAGGCAGGUCUCUGGGCCACUACUGACACUGAGGAGCGAAAGCGUGGGGAGCAAACAGGAUUAGAUACCCUGGUAGUCCACGCUGUAAACGGUGGGCACUAGUUGUGGGAACCUUCCACGGUUUCUGCGACGUAGCAAACGCAUUAAGUGCCCCGCCUGGGGAGUACGAUCGCAAGAUUAAAACUCAAAGGAAUUGACGG